This 106-nucleotide non-coding RNA is filed under the name Clostridium botulinum. RNAcentral's name for it is "Azaaromatic sequence". It matches the Rfam family "azaaromatic riboswitch aptamer (yjdF RNA)". The record is from RNAcentral. RNAcentral also lists the same sequence under 1 other name. Lineage: Bacteria; Bacillati; Bacillota; Clostridia; Eubacteriales; Clostridiaceae.
UUCUAUAGAGAUAAAAACACAGUUUCGGUUGGUAGUCCGAACCUAUCUAAUUUAACGUUAGCAGUAACCUGCCCUCCUGGGGUUGUCCCUUCUCUAUGUUUUAGAU